Molecule: long non-coding RNA, 257 nt
Filed under: Olea europaea (common olive)
Lineage: Eukaryota; Viridiplantae; Streptophyta; Magnoliopsida; Lamiales; Oleaceae
Description: long non-coding RNA (OEUR_LNC013860)
Source: RNAcentral
CAUCCUUUACACAAUAUAACGAAACUUACUUUUGACGGCAUGCAUUGCAUGCCGUAAAAAACUGUUUAGGCGUGUGGCCGAACGUCGUAUAAAGCAAUAUCGUAAAAAGUAGUUCGCUUACGACGUUCAAAGUACGCCACGUAGGAACGCCGUGCAUCGACACGCCAUAAAAAUGUAUAGUUUUUACGGCAUGCGCAGCACGCUGUAAAUGAGAGGAUAUAGACUUAUCAAGUUUGCCCAAUCAACAAACCCUUUCU